UACGUAGGGUGCAAGCGUUUAAUCGGAAUUACUGGGCGUAAAGCGUGCGCAGGCGGCUAUGCAAGACAGAUGUGAAAUCCCCGGGCUCAACCUGGGAACUGCAUUUGUGACUGCAUGGCUAGAGUGCGGCAGAGGGGGAUGGAAUUCCGCGUGUAGGCAGUGAAAUGCGUAGAUAUGCGGAGGAACACCGAUGGCGAAGGCAAUCCCC
This 208-nucleotide ribosomal RNA is filed under the name uncultured bacterium. RNAcentral's name for it is "partial 16S ribosomal RNA". It matches the Rfam family "Bacterial small subunit ribosomal RNA", at positions 524 to 729 of the family's 1533-position model. The record is from RNAcentral.